Molecule: ribosomal RNA, 436 nt
Filed under: uncultured bacterium
Lineage: Bacteria
Description: partial 16S ribosomal RNA
Rfam family: Bacterial small subunit ribosomal RNA
Source: RNAcentral
AACGAACGCUGGCGGCAUGCCUAACACAUGCAAGUCGAACGAGAUCCUUCGGGGUCUAGUGGCGCACGGGUGCGUAACGCGUGGGAAUCUGCCCUUAGGUUCGGAAUAACAGUUAGAAAUGACUGCUAAUACCGGAUGAUGACGUUAAGUCCAAAGAUUUAUCGCCUGAGGAUGAGCCCGCGUAGGAUUAGCUAGUUGGUGUGGUAAAGGCGCACCAAGGCGACGAUCCUUAGCUGGUCUGGGAGGAUGAUCAGCCACACUGGGACUGAGACACGGCCCAGACUCCUACGGGAGGCAGCAGUGGGGAAUAUUGGACAAUGGGCGCAAGCCUGAUCCAGCAAUGCCGCGUGAGUGAUGAAGGCCUUAGGGUUGUAAAGCUCUUUUAACCGAGAUGAUAAUGACAGUAUCGGGAGAAUAAGCCCCGGCUAACUCCGUG